Molecule: long non-coding RNA, 1844 nt
Filed under: Salmo salar (Atlantic salmon)
Lineage: Eukaryota; Metazoa; Chordata; Actinopteri; Salmoniformes; Salmonidae
Description: lncRNA (ENSSSAG00000103635.1)
Source: RNAcentral
AGGAGGAAGAUGGGGGGGGCUCUGCCCCCCAGCCCAUUACUGCUCCCCUGGCAGUGCCAUCCCAGUGCCCUGCCCAGCUGGCACGUAUGCCAGCCUGACAGGCCAGACACAGUGCCCCCGCUGCCACGCUGGUUACUACUGCCCUGAGAGGACCAGUAACUACACCCAGUUUCCCUGCCCACCUGGCUUCUACUGUCCUGAUGGCACGCGGCAUGCCACCCAGUUCCCCUGUCCCCGUGGCUACUACAACCCUGAGCCCAUGACCCAGAGCCUGGACAGCUGUCUGCCCUGUCCCCCUGGACACUACUGUGAGAAGGAGAGACUGACCGCUGUCUCAGGGAAAUGCAAAGCCGGUUGGUUCUGUGUGUCUGCUGCCUGGAACUCCCAGCCUUUUGACCUGGACAACUACACUAACGCCAACUGUCUGUGUCCUGCCACCUCCACCGGGGGCCGCUGUCAAGAGGGCUUCUACUGCCCCCAAGGAAGCUCUGAGCCUCUGCCCUGCCCUCCCGGGGCCUUCUGCAACAUAUCUGGUCUGGCCCUGCCCAUGGGACCCUGCUCCCCUGGCUUCUACUGCACAGAGGGAGCCACUCUGGCCAAACCCACUGACGGAGAGACUGGCAACAUCUGCCCUCCUGGAACCUACUGUGGUGAAGGCUCUGGGGAGCCAGAGCUGUGUCCCGUUGGUACUUUCUCCCCAGCCUCAGGCCUCUCCAAUGUGUCUCAGUGUCAGGCUUGCACUGCAGGGUUUUACUGCGCUGCUGCAGGCCUGAGGGAAGCUACUGGGCUAUGUAGCGAGGGUUACUGGUGCCCUCCAGGUCAGAGGGUGGCCACAGCCCUGGCUUGCCCAGCAGCCCACUACUGUCCCCAGGGAAGUGCAGUUCCUGAGCCCUGCCCCUCUGGAACCUUACAGGACAGAGAGAAACAGGCCACCUGCCAUAUCUGUGAAGCGGGUUAUUACUGUGACCUGAGGUUGGGCCUGGCGAAUGCCUCGGUGCUUCGGCCCUGCCCUAAAGGACAUUACUGCCCCCCAGGCACCGUCUUGGCCACCCAGAACCCCUGCCCCCCAGGCUCAUUCAACCCCAGAGAGCGAAUAGACCGCUUGACAGGCUGCAUGCUCUGUCCUCCAGGACAGUUCUGUCCUACCAUGGGACUCGCUGAACCUGCAGGUUACUGCAACGCUGGCUUCUGGUGCAGGGAGGGGGCGUACUCCCCCAGUCCUGUGGAUGGCCUCUCAGGCUUUCUGUGUCCUGCUGGGCAAUACUGCCCCUCAGGUACCCCUGCCCCUGUGCCCUGUCCUUUGGGUACCUGGUCUAACAGUACUGGCCUGGCGAACCAGGAAGAGUGCCGACCCUGCCCUGGAGGACUCUACUGUGACUCUAUCAGCCUCACCGCUCCCACUGGGUCUUGCACUGGAGGAUAUUAUUGUCUUGAGAGAGCAGUGACACCCACUCCCACUGAUGGCCCUACAGGCGGACCCUGUCUAGAGGGUCACUAUUGUCCCGUAGGAACCACUCAGCCGUUGUCCUGUGAUCCAGGGACGUAUAUGAUUGUAACACAUGCAACUCAAUGUGAGCCCUGUACCCCUGGCUGGUAUUGUGUGUCAGGCACCCUACAACUGUGUCCUGCAGGUUUUUACUGUCCCGAGGGAACAGGAUAUGACUUGAGAGCUUGUCCAGAGGGCACAUACAGCCCUGAGCUGGGCUUGACAUCCAUCAGCCAGUGCAGGCAGUGUGACGGUGGCCAUUACUGUCCACUUAGGAAUGGCACCUCAGUCACAGGACAGUGCCUGGAGGGGUAUUACUGCUCCAACGGAAACACCUCUCCACAGCCUUCCUUUCACU